This 253-nucleotide ribosomal RNA is filed under the name uncultured bacterium. RNAcentral describes it as "partial 16S ribosomal RNA". It matches the Rfam family "Bacterial small subunit ribosomal RNA", at positions 524 to 776 of the family's 1533-position model. The record is from RNAcentral.
UACAGAGGUCCCGAGCGUUGUUCGGAUUCAUUGGGCGUAAAGGGCUCGUAGGCGGCCAACUAAGUCAGACGUGAAAUCCCUAGGCUCAACCUAGGAACUGCGUCUGAUACUGGAUGGCUUGAAUCCGGGAGAGGGAUGCAGAAUUCCAGGUGUAGCGGUGAAAUGCGUAGAUAUCUGGAGGAAUACCGGUGGCGAAGGCGGCAUCCUGGACCGGCAUUGACGCUGAGACACGAAAGCGUGGGGAGCAAACAGG